This 425-nucleotide ribosomal RNA is filed under the name uncultured bacterium. RNAcentral's name for it is "bacterial SSU rRNA". It matches the Rfam family "Bacterial small subunit ribosomal RNA", at positions 359 to 775 of the family's 1533-position model. The record is from RNAcentral.
GAAUAUUGGACAAUGGGGGGAACCCUGAUCCAGCCAUGCCGCGGGUGUGAAGAAGGCCUUUUGGUUGUAAAGCACUUUAAGCGAGGAGGAGGCUACUCUAGUUAAUACCUAGAGACAGUGGCCGUUACUCGCAGAAUAAGCACCGGCUAACUCUGUGCCAGCAGCCGCGGUAAUACAGAGGGUGAAAGCGGUAAUCGGAUUUACUGGGCGGAAAGCGCGAGUAGGUGGCCAAUUAAGUCAAAUGUGAAAUCCCCGAGCUUAACUUGGGAAUUGCAUUCGAUACUGGUUGGCUAGAGUAUGGGAGAGGAUGGUGGAAUUCCAGGUGUAGCGGUGAAAUGCGUAGAGAUCUGGAGGAAUACCGAUGGCGAAGGCAGCCAUCUGGCCUAAUACUGACACUGAGGUGCGAAAGCAUGGGGAGCAAACAG